Molecule: long non-coding RNA, 423 nt
Filed under: Physcomitrium patens
Lineage: Eukaryota; Viridiplantae; Streptophyta; Bryopsida; Funariales; Funariaceae
Description: long non-coding RNA (PPAT_LNC012138)
Source: RNAcentral
GGAUAUUAUAAUGGUACAAAGGCAUAUAGACUAAUGUGUUUAGAAACCAAGUAGAUCAUUAAGAGUUGUGACGUAGUGUUUUUAAACCUUAAGAGUGCUUAUUAGCUCUUAAAAAUGUGUUAAAGUAGGAGUAAUGGUGUAUUUAUAGAUAUAUCUCUAAUUUUAGUAAAAAAUAAGACAAAGAUAAUAAAAAUGAAGAUGGUAGAAAUACAAAUCAAGAUGAAGAACCAAAGAAGAUAAAUCAAUAUAUGUCUAUAAUUCCUAAAACAAGCAAUGAAAAAAAUCAAAAUAUGGAAGAUAAUAGUGAUAAUGAAUAUCAACCUUUGAAUAUGAAGAGACAAGUUUCAAGAGAGUAGAAGGUUGUAAGAGACCUUGGAGUGUAUAGAGGUGAAUCUUCAUCAAAUAAAGGAGACAUCAUAUGAG